UUGACCUCAAAUCGGGUGGGACUACCCGCUGAACUUAAGCAUAUCAAUAAGCGGAGGAAAAGAAACUAACAAGGAUUCCCCUAGUAACGGCGAGUGAAGAGGGAAAAGCUCAAAUUUUGAAUCUGGUGUCUUUGACCCCCGAGUUGUAAUCUAGAGAAGUGUUUUCCGUGUCGGACCGUGCACAAGUUCCCUGGAACGGGGCGUCAUAGAGGGUGAGAAUCCCGUAUAUGGCACGGACUGCCGAUGCUCUGUGAUACACUCUCAACGAGUCGAGUUGUUUGGGAAUGCAGCUCAAAAUGGGUGGUAAAUUCCAUCUAAAGCUAAAUAUUGGCGAGAGACCGAUAGCGAACAAGUACCGUGAGGGAAAGAUGAAAAGCACUUUGGAAAGAGAGUGAAACAGUACGUGAAAUUGUUGAAAGGGAAGCGUUUGAAGUCAGUCAUGUCUGGCGGGAUUCAGCUUGGCUUCUGCCGAGUGUACUUUCCGUCCGACGGGUCAGCAUCAAUUUCGACCGAGGGAAAAAGACGUGCGGAAUGUGGCUGUCUUCGGGCAGUGUUAUAGACCCUGCGUUGUAUGCCUCGGUUGGGAUUGAGGAACGCAGCGCGCCUAUAGGCCAGGGGCUACCCGCCUCUUGACACGCGC
This 640-nucleotide ribosomal RNA is filed under the name uncultured Sebacinales. RNAcentral describes it as "eukaryotic LSU rRNA". It matches the Rfam family "Eukaryotic large subunit ribosomal RNA", at positions 1 to 647 of the family's 3401-position model. The record is from RNAcentral. Lineage: Eukaryota; Fungi; Basidiomycota; Agaricomycetes; Sebacinales.